RNAcentral lists this ribosomal RNA (213 nucleotides) under Enterobacter cloacae. RNAcentral's name for it is "partial 23S ribosomal RNA". It matches the Rfam family "Bacterial large subunit ribosomal RNA", at positions 2718 to 2925 of the family's 2925-position model. The record is from RNAcentral. RNAcentral also lists the same sequence under 1 other name. Lineage: Bacteria; Pseudomonadati; Pseudomonadota; Gammaproteobacteria; Enterobacterales; Enterobacteriaceae.
GGGUUGUCAUGCCAAUGGCACUGCCCGGUAGCUAAAUGCGGAAGAGAUAAGUGCUGAAAGCAUCUAAGCACGAAACUUGCCCCGAGAUGAGUUCUCCCUGAGACUUAAAGUCUCCUGAAGGAACGUUAAAGACGAUGACGUUGAUAGGUCGGGUGUGUAAGCGCAGCGAUGCGUUGAGCUAACCGAUACUAAUGAACCGUGAGGCUUAACCUU